This 22-nucleotide non-coding RNA is filed under the name Rattus norvegicus (Norway rat). Lineage: Eukaryota; Metazoa; Chordata; Mammalia; Rodentia; Muridae. The record is from RNAcentral.
CAAGUGAGAUCGGUGACCCAGC